Molecule: long non-coding RNA, 1443 nt
Organism: Mustela lutreola (European mink)
Lineage: Eukaryota; Metazoa; Chordata; Mammalia; Carnivora; Mustelidae
Exons: 2
Source: RefSeq, a predicted model, not a curated record
UUAAGUACAACAAUCUCCUACUCUCUCUAGCCAAAGGAACAGGAAAGGGGAAACCUAGCAAAACAGAAAACCUUUAGACACUAACCACCCUACUUCACACAAACACCACAGAAAAUGAAACAAAACACUGCUCCAGGGACACCUGUGUGGCUCAGUCAUUAAGCAUCUGCCUGUGGCUGAGGUCAUGAUCUCAGGAUCCUGGGAAAGAGCCCCUCACUGGGCUCCCUGCUCCAUGGGAAGCCUGCUUCUCCCUCUCCCACUCCCCCUGCUUAUGUUCUCUCUCUCUGUCAAAUAAAUAAAUAAAAUCUUUAAAAUAAAACACAACACUGCUCUGUUUUCACCCCAGUCAGCAAAAUCCAGAAGUGGGGUAUAGAUCUCUAUGCUUACCUGAGUGUAAUGAAGACUCUCAACUUCUUCACGAGGGUGGUAGCAGAGAAGGUUGAGUAGGGAGCUGGGACUUUCACUUCUGUCUGGUAGCAGGCAUUACGCCCCAUGGUUUCAGUGGAAGCAACAUGAGGAUCCUGGAUUUCUAUUGCCAUCUAACCAUAGUAUGUACUUUCCUUUUUCCCCACCAGUGUCAGAGGAGACAAAGCAGGAAGCCAGAACAUUCACCAUGAUCUAGUAUAAGGAGCCCUCUAUCUGCAGUAUCAGUGGAAGUCAUACCUCUUCUGACAUGUGGCUAUGAGAGUCUUGGUUGCUCAGCUGCUUGCUCAACCUAUUUGAUAUCCUAAGGGAGGAAACCUUGUUACACCUAAGCAGAAAUGGUAUUUCACAUUCUCCACUGAGGGCACUGCUCUGCCUAGAAGAGGGAAAAGCAUCUCCCAAUGCAAAAACCAGGAAAUCUCAACUUGUAUUGGGAAAGAUAAUAGAUGAUAACCCCGAGAAGAUACCUAUGUGGAGAUUAACUGAUAAAGAUUUCAAAGCAGCAUUAUAAAAAUACUUCAGUGAGCAUUAUGAACAGGCUUGAAACAUGAAAAAUUGUAAAAUCUCAAGAAAAAAAUAGAAGAUACCAAGUAGAAAUUUUAAAACUGAAAAUAUAACAACUGAAAUGAAAAACUUGAUGGAUUGGCCCAAUAUCAGAAAGAAGUAGACAGAGGAAAGAAUACAUAAACUUGAAGACACUACAAUACAAAUUAUCCAAUCCAAACAAAAGUGAAAAAAUAGACUGAAAAAGAACAAGACCCAGGAACCUGAAGGACUAUAAUAAAAAAUCUAAAAUUGGAGUCCAGAAGGAGAGCAGAAAUAGUAUGGGGCUGGAAAGUAUCUGAAGUAGUGGCUGAAAAUGUCUCAAAUUUGGAAAACAAAACAAAACAAAACAAAACAACAAAAACCAUAACCUUCAAAUUCAACAAGCCAAGUGAAUUCCAAACAGGCUAGACCCAAAGAAAAGUUUUACAGAUGUGGCUUAGCCUUAAUUAUAUUAAAAGUUCUCCUUUUGUUGGU